CUAAAUAUUGAAAUAUUAGGUGCUUUUGUUUCUUAGAAACAAAAGUUAAAAGGGAAAGUGGAAAAGCCACUGCAGCCCGCCGCUACUGUGAGGAUGAUGAAACCUUAUUAUAUUAGGUCACUGGAUAAUUUUUAUCUGGGAAGACAAGGGAGUAAAAUGAAUCUGAGUCAGGAAACCUGCCUAGUAUUUGUUGAUUCU
This 198-nucleotide non-coding RNA is filed under the name Clostridium magnum. Lineage: Bacteria; Bacillati; Bacillota; Clostridia; Eubacteriales; Clostridiaceae. RNAcentral also lists the same sequence under 1 other name. The record is from RNAcentral.